UACGAAGGGGGCAAACGUUGCUCGGAAUUAUUGGGCGGAAAGCGCACGUAGGCGGCUUUGCAAGUCGGAUGUGAAAUCCCUCGGCUCAACCAAGGAAGUGCAUCCGAAACUGCAGAGCUUGAGUACCAAAGAGGAUCGCGGAAUUCCCGGUGUAGAGGUGAAAUUCGUAGAUAUCGGGAGGAACACCAGUGGCGAAGGCGGCGAUCUGGGUGGAUACUGACGCUGAGGUGCGAAAGCGUGGGGAGCAAACAGG
Molecule: ribosomal RNA, 253 nt
Filed under: uncultured bacterium
Lineage: Bacteria
Description: partial 16S ribosomal RNA
Rfam family: Bacterial small subunit ribosomal RNA
Source: RNAcentral